This 76-nucleotide transfer RNA is filed under the name Sphaerodactylus townsendi. RNAcentral describes it as "tRNA-Cys". The record is from RNAcentral. Lineage: Eukaryota; Metazoa; Chordata; Lepidosauria; Squamata; Sphaerodactylidae.
GGAGAGGCUGUGGCUCAGUGGAAGAGCCUCUGUUGUGCAAAGCAGAAGGAUCCAGGUUCAAAUGCUGACCUCGCCA